UUCUUCUGUAGGAGUCGAAUUACUUUUCCUGAGAAACUCUUCUUUUGCCAAGCGAAGCUUGCUUUUUCUUCUGGAAAUCGAUCCUUCAAAUACAUGGUAGUGCCUCCAACCCUGUUAGCUGCUGAAAAAGAAGAAGCCAAAUCUGUGUUAUCCUUGUUCUUGAAGAAACAAGGUCUGAGCAAGGUAGUUGCUGCAAAAACCAUCAUUAAAUCAGAUCUUCUCAUCGAUCACCUUCUCUCAAGGCUUCAUUUUGUUCAUAAAUCUCAGUAUCUUGUAGGUUCGAUUGCAAUAUGUCCUGGUUUUUUUUGGCUAUUGUUUUCUAAGUGUUUUUGUUUCUAAUUCUUAUUUUUCCCACCAAGAAGUAGCCAAAAGCUGUCUCUCGAAUGAUUGAGGUUGGUGCAGUUUGUGAUUUAUGCCCUCAAUUCCUCUACCUCAUAGAGCUUGGCAUGGAUCUUGAGCAGAUCAAGUUUGCUACACGCAGAUAUCCUAGUUUUGCCAACUACAUCUUGGAGAGGAAAAUCAAACCACUAGUUGAGUUUCUUCUUGAUCUUGGGGUAGCUAAAUCAGACAUUCCCAAAAUUCUUGUCCAAGCGCCUGAUUUAUGCGGACUUAGUAUAUCUGGUAAAAUAAUACCCAUCAUGUUAUACUUAGAAGAUAUGGGUGUAGACAAGGACCAGUGGGCAAAAGUUAUAUACCGCUUCCCAGGACCCCUCACUUACAGCUGGCAGAAGGUUCAGGCAAUCGUUGAAUUCCUCUAUGAGUCGGGCCUAUCAUCCAAGAGUACAGGUAAAAUCUUGAAUCGAUGGCCAAAGAUUGUUAGUUCCAGCGUGGAUGAGAAUCUACGACCAACUGUUUUAGUUACAGAAUGAGAUCACGUUUUGCACUUGUCAAGGAGUUAGGAGUGAAAAUGGGGCUGGCUCGUGUGUUAGUAUGAUCACACUGUGACUUUGAGAAAGUCUUGAAGAUGAACAGGAAGAACAUCCUUGUUGACAAGGUUUCAAGUCAUACAGAGAGCAAGUAAUAUAAUCUUUUGUCAGGAACUGGAUUGUGUGGUUUCUCAGUGGAGUGCUCAUUUCGAUGAAGCUUCCCAAUGGUACAAUUUUCAGGCUUGACUUUAACAAGUUUGUUGGAGGCUUCGAGUGUCGUUUGCAAUGUGGUCAGUCCUUUUCAUCAAUUGUUUCUCUAUAAUCCUUGUCUGUACAGAAGUUUUCUCUUCUGCAUUACUCUUUCUUGCAAGUUAGUAUUCCAAGGAUGCAUGGAAGUGAAUUCAAUCAUUGCUGUUCAGAUAAGCCUCUCUUCCUUAUCAUGAAAAUUUUUUUGUUGCAAAUUGUUUUGCUACUUCAAUGUAAAUCUUAGAUGUAAUGGCUCUAGUACUUGUUCUGUUUUUCGAAGGUAAGGUUAAUAUUCUGAACAUUGAUCUGGCAAAAUGGUUCUGGUUGCUCAACAAGUGAUUGUUUGUUGGUUAUGAAUCUUUGCUAUAUUUGAAUUUAAGCUUUUACUGAAUUACAACUGUGAUGUUUUAUAUUAUAACUCUAUCGUUAAAAAUAUUACAUUCAACAUUGCAAGUUUGGUAUUUUAUACCACAAAACAUGCAGGUUUUGAGAUAAUGAGUAUGUAGACUUCAUAUCUUAUAUUAAAACUUGGAGCAUCACUGCAUUUAAACAGCACAGAUUAUGAAUAGUAUAUCAGCUGAGAUACAACUGAGUCUUUUAAUACUAAAUGUUGAAGUCCUUGUUUUAAUAAAAAAUCGUGAUGGGAAGCAAGCUGGCUAAAUGCUAAUACAAAAUCAAGUUUAAUCAAAGAUAAGACCCAUUGAAAUGUCCAAGUGAUAAGUUUGUUGACAUGUCUUGUUAAAUGUUUGCUUUAGUGACAUGAUGAUAAUGAAGGCACUUACUUUCUCCAGUAAUGGUUUUAUUUUCUUUAGUCAUUAAGUGGGAAAACGAAAUAUCAUGUUACAAUAUCAAUUUUAAAGUGAGUUGUAUUAUGUGGAUUUAUAACAAUUGGUAUCAGAGUAUGUACUAUUCGAAAGGGUGAUUAACUAUGUUAUGUGUAGCUGUUCAUGCUGUUUGCUUUUGAAUUGAUGAAUAAGUGUUUCUGCAUUUUUUUUGAAAUUGUUCAGAUUGUGUUUCUGGGAUUGGGAGAAUCACCAAGAAUCUUUUAGUAAGAUAUUUUAACGAGGUUGAUCUUCUUGAGCUUGUGUCUCAUUUCUUAGAUGCUGCUUGUGAAAAUUUAGCUUCUGAAAAUCAUGUGGCCUCUGAUACGCACAAGGUUGCUAAUGUUUUUUGUGUUCCUCUUCAGGGGAUACUAUAAAUGUAGCAGCAUGAGAGGCUGUCCUGCAAGGAAGCAUGUGGAGAGGUGCUUGGAAGAUCCAUCCAUGCUUAUUGUUACCUAUGAAGAACAUAACCACCCGAGGUUACCAUCCCAAUCGGCAAACACAUAAACCUCAGGGAAAGCUACAUCGGAUCACUUCAAGUCAUUGGUGUUCAAUUUAUUGGAACCUUAUUUAUGUUUGGCUUGAAUUGCUCAUGGACAUAUUUUUGCAAUGGCUCAACUUCAAUCAUGGGACAUACUUGGAGUGGUUUUAUCUUGGCUUGGAGAGCUGGCUUUCCAUGACUUUUUUUUUCUUUUUUUGGAAUGUGGCCGUGGGCUUCAUUUCCGUGUGCCGAAUCAAAGCAAAUGUGGGAUUGGGGUUUCAAAGUGUAAGAACUUUUUCAUCUUUAAAAGGCAAUUAGUGCUUUAGACAAGUUAAGAAUUGUGUUGCAACGCAUGAAUGAUGUGAAUGUGUUAAUGACAACUUUAGGAAAAAAAAUGCUCUGUUAGGAGGGCUACAUCAACUUUUGUUCUUUUUCUUGGAAGAUCUCAGCCCCUGGAUUCCAAAUCCAAGGGCUGAGCUGAA
Pistacia vera is the source of this 2896-nucleotide long non-coding RNA. RefSeq lists it as uncharacterized. Lineage: Eukaryota; Viridiplantae; Streptophyta; Magnoliopsida; Sapindales; Anacardiaceae. The transcript has 4 exons. The record is from RefSeq and is a predicted model, not a curated record.